This 239-nucleotide long non-coding RNA is filed under the name Lathyrus oleraceus (garden pea). RNAcentral describes it as "Pisum sativum (pea) long non-coding RNA (PSAT_LNC016552)". The record is from RNAcentral. Lineage: Eukaryota; Viridiplantae; Streptophyta; Magnoliopsida; Fabales; Fabaceae.
AUUUCAGAAGUUGGCAGAAAAAGAAAAGAAAAAUAGAAAAAGAAAAUAGAAAAGAAAAAAAAAUGAAUGAAAAAAAUAGAAGGAUGUCAAUCAAUACAUACUCCUUAUGAAAAAGAAAAAGAAAGAAUAAAAAGAGAAAGGAGAAGAGAAAACAGUUGCUAUAGAGUUGUUGAAGUGAAUGAAAUAUUUUGUAAAUUCAACUCCCGCAGUUUCUUUCAAGUCUCUUUUGUCUCUUUGAA